GACGAACGCUGGCGGCGUGCUUAACACAUGCAAGUCGAACGGAAAGGCCCUGCUUUUGUGGGGUUCUCGAGUGGCGAACGGGUGCGUAACACGUGAGUAACCUGCCCUUGACUUUGGGAUAACUUCAGGAAACUGGGGCUAAUACCGGAUAGGAGCUCCUGCUGCAUGGUGGGGGUUGGAAAGUUUCGGCGGUUGGGGAUGGAUGGGCGGCUUAUCAGCUUGUUGGUGGGGUAGUGGCUUACCCAGGCUUUGACGGGUCGGCGGCCUGAGAGGGUGACCGGCGACAUUGGUACUACGGUACGGCGCAGACUCGUACGGGGGGCAGCAGUGGGGAACAUUGCACAAUGGGCGGAAGCCUGAUGCAGAAACGCCGCGUGCGGGAUGACGGCCUUCGGGGUGUAAACCGCUUUCGCCUGUGACGAAGCGUGAGUGACGGUAAUGGGUAAAGAAGCACCGGCUAACUACGUG
RNAcentral lists this ribosomal RNA (468 nucleotides) under uncultured bacterium. RNAcentral's name for it is "partial 16S ribosomal RNA". It matches the Rfam family "Bacterial small subunit ribosomal RNA", at positions 28 to 507 of the family's 1533-position model. The record is from RNAcentral.